GCCUUCGUGGUGUAACGGUUAGCAUACUUAACUUGCAUUCGAGAGGUCCAGGUUCGAGUCCCGGCGAGGGCG
Stegodyphus dumicola is the source of this 72-nucleotide non-coding RNA. The record is from the annotation of a RefSeq genome assembly. NCBI's taxonomy places the organism in Eukaryota, Metazoa, Arthropoda, Arachnida, Araneae, Eresidae.